This 515-nucleotide ribosomal RNA is filed under the name uncultured bacterium. RNAcentral's name for it is "bacterial SSU rRNA". It matches the Rfam family "Bacterial small subunit ribosomal RNA", at positions 1 to 518 of the family's 1533-position model. The record is from RNAcentral.
UCGACGUACGUCUACGAGAGGUUAGUUAGUACUACUGGCUCAGGACGAACGCUGGCGGCACGCUUAACACAUGCAAGUCGAACGGAGUUAUUCCUCGGGGGAUAACUUAGUGGCGGACGGGUGAGUAACACGUGAGCAACCUGCCUUACAGAGAGGAAUAAUGACUGGAAAACGGUCACUAAUACCUCAUAAAAUAUUUGAAUCGCAUGGUUUGGAUAUCAAAGAAUUAUCGCUGUAAGAUGGGCUCGCGUCCGAUUAGAUAGUUGGUGAGGUAACGGCUCACCAAGUCGACGAUCGGUAGCCGUACUGAGAGGUAGAACGGCCACAUUGGGACUGAGACACGGCCCAGACUCCUACGGGAGGCAGCAGUGGGGAAUAUUGCACAAUGGAGGGAACUCUGAUGCAGCGAUGCCGCGUGAGGGAAGAAGGUUUUCGGAUUGUAAACCUCUGUCUUAAGGGACGAUAAUGACGGUACCUUAGGAGGAAGCUCCGGCUAACUACGUGCCAGCCGCCGC